Long non-coding RNA from Diabrotica virgifera virgifera (western corn rootworm), 282 nucleotides. RefSeq lists it as uncharacterized. The transcript is spliced from 2 exons. NCBI's taxonomy places the organism in Eukaryota, Metazoa, Arthropoda, Insecta, Coleoptera, Chrysomelidae. The record is from RefSeq and is a predicted model, not a curated record.
AGUUUUUCAUUGGUCACCGUCUGAGGUAGUACGAGUACGAGUAUGAAUCAUAGUCAUAAACGUCAUAGUGCAGUGUAUUCGGAUUUUGCGAUUGAUCAGGUACUUCAGUUAAAAAAGUGCAUACUUAAGAUUAUACUGCAGGGUCAAAAUUGCAAUCAGGAAUAAUGUAUUUUUCAAAUCAACUACAUAGUCCUUACUUUAAUCGCUUGAACACAUAUUUGAGGUCCAACUCCAAACAACUUACUUUUGUAUAUAAAUAAUAAUUAUACAUUACCUAACUAA